RNAcentral lists this ribosomal RNA (253 nucleotides) under uncultured bacterium. RNAcentral's name for it is "partial 16S ribosomal RNA". It matches the Rfam family "Bacterial small subunit ribosomal RNA", at positions 524 to 776 of the family's 1533-position model. The record is from RNAcentral.
UACAGGGGGGGCAAGCGUUGUUCGGAAUUACUGGGCGUAAAGGGUCUGUAGGUGGCCAACUAAGUCAGACGUGAAAUCCCUCAGCUUAACUGGGGAACUGCGUCUGAUACUGGAUGGCUUGAGUGCAGGAGAGGAAUGCGGAAUUCCAGGUGUAGCGGUGAAAUGCGUAGAUAUCUGGAGGAACACCGGUGGCGAAGGCGGCAUUCUGGACUGUAACUGACACUGAGAGACGAAAGCCAGGGGAGCAAACGGG